This is a long non-coding RNA of Argentina anserina (silverweed cinquefoil), 481 nucleotides long. RefSeq lists it as uncharacterized. The transcript has 2 exons. Lineage: Eukaryota; Viridiplantae; Streptophyta; Magnoliopsida; Rosales; Rosaceae. The record is from RefSeq and is a predicted model, not a curated record.
UCGAAGUUUUUCCGAUCAUUGUUUCUCGCUCCCGGGUUACUGUUCACGGAGUUGGUUUGUUUCCAGCCGUGCCCAAACCGAAAUCCAGCCGUGCCCAGCCCAGAAAUCACCGUCGUGCCCAGAAGAUGCCGCCGUGCUCAAGAUCGAUAGGUAUGAUAGGAUCUUCUCACUGGGGAGUUACUAGGUCGGGGGUACUUGAGGGGCAGGCUGUUUCGUCUGGACCAGACAUACGCAGGGGAUAAACCAGGAGCACAGCCACGAACCGCUUUAAUGUCAACUUCUGACAGGCUAAGUGAAGUUUGGUUAUGGCACCGACGCUUAGGGCAUCCAUCUUUUAGUGUUAUGAAAAAAUCCAUGCCUUCUUUGUUUAUUGGUGUGGAUGAGUCAGUCUUACAUUGUGAAACAUGUGUUUUUGGCAAGAGUCAUCGCUCAACCUAUCUGCCUAGUAUUUCAAAUAAAAGUGUCGUUCCUUUUGAAUUAA